This is a long non-coding RNA of Nyctereutes procyonoides (raccoon dog), 3055 nucleotides long. RefSeq lists it as uncharacterized. The transcript has 3 exons. NCBI's taxonomy places the organism in Eukaryota, Metazoa, Chordata, Mammalia, Carnivora, Canidae. The record is from RefSeq and is a predicted model, not a curated record.
CGCGCGCCCGCGCCCCCGUCAGCUGCAGGUCCGGAGCCCGACGGUAGAGGCCUCCCUUCUGAGGAGGCGGCGCGGCCGCGCGGGGCCGGGGUGAGCGCUCCCAGCCGCGCGUCCUUCCGGACCGGGUCCCUGCGCGGCCCGACCCGGUGCGAGUAUUCCCCACCCGCCGUCCUCCUCCGCAGGCGGCGGCGCCCGUUCUUUUGAGGGCACGGACGUUUCCACGCAGGCGAUUUUGACAGCAAUCACCCUACCAAGCUAUUAUGAAGUGUGAUGUCAGUGCGUUCUGCAGGACGGAUAAUGUAUAAGCCAGAUCUUGACACGCUAUCUUACAAGGAAGCAGCUGAGACCAUCAGCUUCUAAUGUGAGGAAAAACACGGAAUGACAAGUGUGGGAAAGAGCAAGCACUAAAUUACUGUCAGAAAAAUAAACGGAGUAGCACAGUGGUGCUCGGUGAUUUACGGGGGCAAUUAGUCACCACCCCACGGCGCUGCUGAGGACAGCACGGCAGCAGACGCGUCAGGCCUGAGAGGAAGAAGAGGCUUUGCACUGCUCUCCAGACAACUUUUCAGACAAGAGAGGAUAUUUGAGCACAUUAGGUUCCAUGUCUUCAUUCUGGGUGCCCACCCUUCACAUUAUUCGGCCAGCCGAAUACAUAAACGUAUUUUUAACACAACAUUAACCUGUUCUGUGUGUGUGUGUGUGUGUGUGUGUUAAAAAGACUCCAACUGUAGCAUUUUUCUCUCCCACUGCCCAAAGUAAGUUUUUCUCAUUCCUUAAAUGAAACAAGCCUUUCCCCACUCCCUAAUUGUCCCCCUGAUGUGUGCCUUUGAUGUGUCUCAUCACUUCUUGCAUCUUGCUGUCAUGUUCUGUAUUUUCUUGGAGCCAUUGGGUGCUAAGGAAUUUGGUCUCUAGCUCUUCUGGGGAAGUUUGGUGAGCUGGUACAAAAGAGGUGAUGAAUGAGGCUGUAAAUUCAGUAAAUAAGAAAGGUACAUAAACUUCCUGAUAUUUGUUGGCCUGUUUUUUUUUUUUUUUACAUACUCUAUGCAGUGCCUGUGUAUAUGUACAUAGCAAAAUAAACCUGCUAAGAUAUAAUGAGUUGGUGUGCAUUCUUUAGUAGGAAUUCUUCUCAAUCAGAAGAAACCUAGAAUGGAGGGCCAGGAAAGAACCCAGGAAAGACAAAGAUUUUAUUGACUAACUGCCCUGUCUGUGUAGGGGUGCUGGCAAGGCUGCUGAGGCGAACAAAUGAAGCAUCAUCAGGAGUUUAGUAUCCUUAUGGAGUAGUAUCUAAGAAUGCUGCCAUUUUAUAUUUCUGAAGCACUUCACAGUUUCCAAAGGACAUUUGGAAUUCCUUAUCUCAUUUGAUCUUGCCUUGGCUUUAGUCAAGAACUCCUGCUCAGAAAUGUGUUCAGUGACUAUGUACACAUUUGGAGAAUGUGACCUGACACAUGCUACCUUGGCCUGAAAGCUGGAGUACUAAAGAGGCAAAACUGUGUUGAUGAGCUGGUGCUGGUAUGGGCAACUAGACACUUAGGUUCUGAUGAAGAGGCUCAUCGCUGGGAAAAAGUGAGAUUUUACUGGCUACUCUUCCGCAUUACUAGGUUUUAUCUUUUUAAAGAUAUAAUAUGCCUUUAAAAACAAUUUAGAAAUAAUAUAGAGCCUUGGGAUUUGAUGUAGAAUUGCAUAUUUGUGACCAAAAAGAGCACUGGUUUUCCUGUAAUAAGGAAAGCAAACCCAACCAGGAAAGGAGGCAGAUGUGUUGCUCUGCAACAUUGCAGGCAUAUGAAAUUGUACAGAUCUCACUGAAAACUAGGAAUGAUAUCACUUGGAAAUUUAACCAAAAUUAUUUCCAUCAGUGGACAAAGCACAUUUUAAAACAUUGUAUGCCUUUUUCAGAUAUCGUUCUUUUUCUAAAGUCACAUUUGUUGUUUCUGAUAGAGGGACAUAAUUGGGAAAAUUAACUAGAUAAAAAAAUGAAAUUUAAAGUAUAAAAAUUCUGCUUUUUCUGAUAAAUUUUACAUUCAUUGUUUCCUUGAUUUAAACAGAACAUUCUAAAAAUAUUACCCCCAUAGGGUGCAUAUUUUUAUGUACAUAUUAUUUUUGUUUAGAAAUUAUGAGCCAAUGAAGAGUGCAAAUGACCUUGGCUAUUGUACUUAUUUAUCAAUAGAAAUAAUAGCUUUUUUAUGUCUGGAUACAAGUAUCUUCUCUACUAAUCAUGCAACUUCCAUACAUUUCCAAGAGAUGAUUUGGAUUGCAUGAUUACAGGAGGCUGGAGCUUCCUACAUGCCCCUGUAUUUGUACAUAAUAUUUAUGCAAUAUUCUGACUUGGCUAUAAUCUAUAAUUUCUGGCUAUUAUUUCAGUUGCAACCAUCAUUUUUAGAUUAAUGGUUAUAAUUUUGGUAGGGAAUACAUGAAAAGUUAUAUGUUCAUGCUUGAAAGGAGGAUCAUUAAAUAUUCAUUAUUACCACUCAAAUUAGUUGUCAUGCUCUAUAAAACAGUUACCCGUUAUCAUUUCACUAGUUUAGAUUCAGCGGUAAGUGAACAGCAAUAUAUGGCUCUUAUCAGUAGAGGAAUUUUUGUUGAGGAACAGAGGGAGAAAUGAUUUUAAAACCCAUUUGACAUAUUUAUGUUGACAAAUUAUUUAAAAGAAUUACUGCAUUGUCAAUAAACAUGUUUGUAUGUUGGAAUAGGAUUGUGACUGGAUUUACUUCUAGCUGUUUAAUUACUCUAUGAUUGUGAAAAACAGUGCUUCUUCAGAUGGUUAUGAGGGGGGAAAAUGAAAAUACAAAGGUUGGGAUAUUUUAGUGUUUUGCACUUGCCUAAGCUUGCCAUAAAAAACCACUUUUCAUUUUUUAAGCAGGUACUGAAGUCUUGCUUUUUCAGUGGAGCUAGAUUGUAUAAUUUGUUAGUUUUCCCCAUCUGGUAACAAAUCUAUCCUUAAGAAAAAAAAAAGCAAAAAGCAAAACAAGAGAUGGAUUUUUAUAAAUGUUGUGGGUGAGCAUAUGUGGAGAUGUCUCCUUAACCUGUUUUGGAAACAUGAAGUGAAAAUAAAUAUGAA